GGUUAAGCGACUAAGCGUACACGGUGGAUGCCCUGGCAGUCAGAGGCGAUGAAGGACGUGCUAAUCUGCGAUAAGCGUCGGUAAGGUGAUAUGAACCGUUAUAACCGGCGAUUUCCGAAUGGGGAAACCCAGUGUGUUUCGACACACUAUCAUUAACUGAAUCCAUAGGUUAAUGAGGCGAACCGGGGGAACUGAAACAUCUAAGUACCCCGAGGAAAAGAAAUCAACCGAGAUUCCCCCAGUAGCGGCGAGCGAACGGGGAGCAGCCCAGAGCCUGAAUCAGUAUGUGUGUUAGUGGAAGCGUCUGGAAAGGCGCGCGAUACAGGGUGACAGCCCCGUACACAAAAAUGCACAUAUUGUGAGCUCGAUGAGUAGGGCGGGACACGUGGUAUCCUGUCUGAAUAUGGGGGGACCAUCCUCCAAGGCUAAAUACUCCUGACUGACCGAUAGUGAACCAGUACCGUGAGGGAAAGGCGAAAAGAACCCCGGCGAGGGGAGUGAAAAAGAACCUGAAACCGUGUACGUACAAGCAGUGGGAGCACGCUUAGGCGUGUGACUGCGUACCUUUUGUAUAAUGGGUCAGCGACUUAUAUUCUGUAGCAAGGUUAACCGAAUAGGGGAGCCGAAGGGAAACCGAGUCUUAACUGGGCGUUAAGUUGCAGGGUAUAGACCCGAAACCCGGUGAUCUAGCCAUGGGCAGGUUGAAGGUUGGGUAACACUAACUGGAGGACCGAACCGACUAAUGUUGAAAAAUUAGCGGAUGACUUGUGGCUGGGGGUGAAAGGCCAAUCAAACCGGGAGAUAGCUGGUUCUCCCCGAAAGCUAUUUAGGUAGCGCCUCGUGAAUUCAUCUCCGGGGGUAGAGCACUGUUUCGGCAAGGGGGUCAUCCCGACUUACCAACCCGAUGCAAACUGCGAAUACCGGAGAAUGUUAUCACGGGAGACACACGGCGGGUGCUAACGUCCGUCGUGAAGAGGGAAACAACCCAGACCGCCAGCUAAGGUCCCAAAGUCAUGGUUAAGUGGGAAACGAUGUGGGAAGGCCCAGACAGCCAGGAUGUUGGCUUAGAAGCAGCCAUCAUUUAAAGAAAGCGUAAUAGCUCACUGGUCGAGUCGGCCUGCGCGGAAGAUGUAACGGGGCUAAACCAUGCACCGAAGCUGCGGCAGCGACACUAUGUGUUGUUGGGUAGGGGAGCGUUCUGUAAGCCUGUGAAGGUGUGCUGUGAGGCAUGCUGGAGGUAUCAGAAGUGCGAAUGCUGACAUAAGUAACGAUAAAGCGGGUGAAAAGCCCGCUCGCCGGAAGACCAAGGGUUCCUGUCCAACGUUAAUCGGGGCAGGGUGAGUCGACCCCUAAGGCGAGGCCGAAAGGCGUAGUCGAUGGGAAACAGGUUAAUAUUCCUGUACUUGGUGUUACUGCGAAGGGGGGACGGAGAAGGCUAUGUUGGCCGGGCGACGGUUGUCCCGGUUUAAGCGUGUAGGCUGGUUUUCCAGGCAAAUCCGGAAAAUCAAGGCUGAGGCGUGAUGACGAGGCACUACGGUGCUGAAGCAACAAAUGCCCUGCUUCCAGGAAAAGCCUCUAAGCAUCAGGUAACAUCAAAUCGUACCCCAAACCGACACAGGUGGUCAGGUAGAGAAUACCAAGGCGCUUGAGAGAACUCGGGUGAAGGAACUAGGCAAAAUGGUGCCGUAACUUCGGGAGAAGGCACGCUGAUAUGUAGGUGAAGUCCCUUGCGGAUGGAGCUGAAAUCAGUCGAAGAUACCAGCUGGCUGCAACUGUUUAUUAAAAACACAGCACUGUGCAAACACGAAAGUGGACGUAUACGGUGUGACGCCUGCCCGGUGCCGGAAGGUUAAUUGAUGGGGUCAGCGCAAGCGAAGCUCUUGAUCGAAGCCCCGGUAAACGGCGGCCGUAACUAUAACGGUCCUAAGGUAGCGAAAUUCCUUGUCGGGUAAGUUCCGACCUGCACGAAUGGCGUAAUGAUGGCCAGGCUGUCUCCACCCGAGACUCAGUGAAAUUGAACUCGCUGUGAAGAUGCAGUGUACCCGCGGCAAGACGGAAAGACCCCGUGAACCUUUACUAUAGCUUGACACUGAACAUUGAGCCUUGAUGUGUAGGAUAGGUGGGAGGCUUUGAAGUGUGGACGCCAGUCUGCAUGGAGCCGACCUUGAAAUACCACCCUUUAAUGUUUGAUGUUCUAACGUUGACCCGUAAUCCGGGUUGCGGACAGUGUCUGGUGGGUAGUUUGACUGGGGCGGUCUCCUCCUAAAGAGUAACGGAGGAGCACGAAGGUUGGCUAAUCCUGGUCGGACAUCAGGAGGUUAGUGCAAUGGCAUAAGCCAGCUUGACUGCGAGCGUGACGGCGCGAGCAGGUGCGAAAGCAGGUCAUAGUGAUCCGGUGGUUCUGAAUGGAAGGGCCAUCGCUCAACGGAUAAAAGGUACUCCGGGGAUAACAGGCUGAUACCGCCCAAGAGUUCAUAUCGACGGCGGUGUUUGGCACCUCGAUGUCGGCUCAUCACAUCCUGGGGCUGAAGUAGGUCCCAAGGGUAUGGCUGUUCGCCAUUUAAAGUGGUACGCGAGCUGGGUUUAGAACGUCGUGAGACAGUUCGGUCCCUAUCUGCCGUGGGCGCUGGAGAACUGAGGGGGGCUGCUCCUAGUACGAGAGGACCGGAGUGGACGCAUCACUGGUGUUCGGGUUGUCAUGCCAAUGGCACUGCCCGGUAGCUAAAUGCGGAAGAGAUAAGUGCUGAAAGCAUCUAAGCACGAAACUUGCCCCGAGAUGAGUUCUCCCUGACCCUUUAAGGGUCCUGAAGGAACGUUGAAGACGACGACGUUGAUAGGCCGGGUGUGUAAGCGCAGCGAUGCGUUGAGCUAACCGGUACUAAUGAACCGUGAGGCUUAACCUU
Molecule: ribosomal RNA, 2903 nt
Filed under: Escherichia coli
Lineage: Bacteria; Pseudomonadati; Pseudomonadota; Gammaproteobacteria; Enterobacterales; Enterobacteriaceae
Description: 23S ribosomal RNA
Rfam family: Bacterial large subunit ribosomal RNA
Source: RNAcentral